GUGCCAGCAGCCGCGGUAAUACGUAGGGUGCGAGCGUUAAUCGGAAUUACUGGGCGUAAAGCGUGCGCAGGCGGCUUUGCAAGACAGAGGUGAAAUCCCCGGGCUCAACCUGGGAACUGCCUUUGUGACUGCAAGGCUAGAGUACGGCAGAGGGGGAUGGAAUUCCGCGUGUAGCAGUGAAAUGCGUAGAUAUGCGGAGGAACACCGAUGGCGAAGGCAAUCCCCUGGGCCUGUACUGACGCUCAUGCACGAAAGCGUGGGGAGCAAACAGGAUUAG
This 277-nucleotide ribosomal RNA is filed under the name uncultured Burkholderiales bacterium. Its description in RNAcentral is "partial 16S ribosomal RNA". It matches the Rfam family "Bacterial small subunit ribosomal RNA", at positions 505 to 781 of the family's 1533-position model. Lineage: Bacteria; Pseudomonadati; Pseudomonadota; Betaproteobacteria; Burkholderiales. The record is from RNAcentral.